This 299-nucleotide signal recognition particle RNA is filed under the name Cebus imitator (Panamanian white-faced capuchin). RNAcentral's name for it is "Metazoan signal recognition particle RNA (ENSCCAG00000007883.1)". It matches the Rfam family "Metazoan signal recognition particle RNA". Rfam says of the family: The signal recognition particle (SRP) is a universally conserved ribonucleoprotein. It is involved in the co-translational targeting of proteins to membranes. Lineage: Eukaryota; Metazoa; Chordata; Mammalia; Primates; Cebidae. The record is from RNAcentral.
GCCGGGCGCGGUGGCCCAUGCCUGUAUUCCCAGCUACUCGGGAGGCUGAGGCGGGAGGAUCGCGUGAGCCCAGGAGUUCUGGGCUGUAGUGCGCUAUGCCGAUCGGAUGUCCGCACUAAAUUCAGCAUCAAUAUGGUGACCUCCCGGGAGCGGGGGACCACCAGGUUGCCUAAGGAGGGGUGAACUGGCCCAGGUCGGAAACGGAGCAGGUCAAAACUCCCGUGCUGAUCAGUAGUGGGAUUGUGCCUGUGAAUAGCCACUGCACUCCAGCCUGGGCAACAUAGCAAGACCCUGUCUCU